GCCUAGCCCUGAUAGCAGUGAAAAUCCUUUAAUUCGCCGCGGCGAAUUAAAGAUUGAAGCGAAUAGCAGGAUUAAGC
RNAcentral lists this small RNA (77 nucleotides) under Flavobacterium gillisiae. Its description in RNAcentral is "Flavo-1 RNA". It matches the Rfam family "Flavo-1 RNA". The record is from RNAcentral. Lineage: Bacteria; Pseudomonadati; Bacteroidota; Flavobacteriia; Flavobacteriales; Flavobacteriaceae.